Molecule: ribosomal RNA, 466 nt
Filed under: uncultured bacterium
Lineage: Bacteria
Description: partial 16S ribosomal RNA
Rfam family: Bacterial small subunit ribosomal RNA
Source: RNAcentral
GAUGAACGCUGGCGGCGUGCUUAACACAUGCAAGUCGAACGAUGAAGCCCAGCUUGCUGGGCGGAUUAGUGGCGAACGGGUGAGUAACACGUGAGUAACCUGCCCUUGACUCUGGGAUAAGCCCGGGAAACUGGGUCUAAUACCGGAUAGGAGCGCCUGUCGCAUAACGGGUGCUGGAAAGAUCUUUCGGUCAUGGAUGGACUCGCGGCCUAUCAGCUUGUUGGUGAGGUAACGGCUCACCAAGGCGACGACGGGUAGCCGGCCUGAGAGGGUGACCGGCCACACUGGGACUGAGACACGGCCCAGACCCCUACGGGAGGCAGCAGUGGGGAAUAUUGCACAAUGGUCGAAAGCCUGAUGCAGCGACGCCGCGUGAGGGAUGACGGCCUUCGGGCUGUAAACCUCUUUCAGCAGGGAAGAAGCGAAAGUGACGGUACCUGCAGAAGAAGCACCGGCUAACUACGUG